AAAAAAAAAACGUGGUGAAAAUUUUGCAAAACCAUAAAAGGGAACAUAAACCAAAUAAAAACAAUUUUAAAAGUGUUGUGGCUGCAAAGACAAAAACUUAAAAACCAACCCCUGGAUAAGGUACGCAAAGAAAAAAAUGAAAAAGUGACCUUAUUACAUAAUUCCAUGUAUGUACUGCACGUAGGUUAUGAUCCACGUGUGGCAGGAAAUUGCUGACCUGGCCUGACCCUCGGUCUCGGAGGGGGGUCCGCUCCAGUACCACGAACAUCAGUCCUUCUUUUUGGUGCCACCGGACCUUGCCUGCAGGCCGAGAAACGGAUGGCGACUUGGCGAUCGGGACCGAGUUGUUUAUAUACAUAUAUCUCACGAGCAACUAAGCCGCUCAACAACAACGAUAAUAUCAAUCAAUCUAAAAUAUUAUAUCACCGCGCCUUGUGUAAAGAAAAUUUUGGUGCUUGCAUAUGU
Molecule: long non-coding RNA, 465 nt
Filed under: Drosophila guanche
Lineage: Eukaryota; Metazoa; Arthropoda; Insecta; Diptera; Drosophilidae
Source: RNAcentral